UUAUCCUCAUAAGUUUGACAAUAAGAGAAACCAUAUAAAAUUUAGAUUAGCCAUAAUUUAAAAAAAUAAUAUGGUAUAAUAAAAUCGGAGGCCACGACUGUUUAUUAAAAACACAAUUCAGAGCAAUAAUUAAGAUAAUAGUAUUCUGAAUGAAAUUUGCUCAAUGCCAUUAAUAUAAAAGAGGUAAUUUUAAAGUUAUUAAUUGAAAAUCUGGUUAAUAGCGGUCUUAACUAUGAGGAUCCUAAGGUAGCAAAAUAAAUUGGCCAUUAAAUGUGGUCUUGUAUCAAUAAUGUAACGAUGGUCUCACUGUCUCUACAACUUGCUCAGUGAAAUUGAAUUGCGAGUGCAGAUGCUCGCUGUCUUCAGAGGGACGGGAAGACCCUAU
RNAcentral lists this ribosomal RNA (385 nucleotides) under Russula sp. C621gn. Its description in RNAcentral is "LSU rRNA". It matches the Rfam family "Bacterial large subunit ribosomal RNA", at positions 1722 to 2094 of the family's 2925-position model. The record is from RNAcentral. Lineage: Eukaryota; Fungi; Basidiomycota; Agaricomycetes; Russulales; Russulaceae.